GUUUUCCUUCUGGUCAUGUGAGGCAGAAUCACCACCCACUUACUACUUUUAUUUUUCUGUUUCUACUGAAAAUCUUCUUCAAUAUCUCCCAUUUUUCUCAGGUGUAAGCAGCAACCAAAAUGAUGUGAAGCUAAAUCAUUCUAAUAAAAGUUAAAGACUUAAAAAUAUGAUAGCAAAGAGAUUACUGUUAAAAGUAUAAACUAUUAACUAGAAAAAAAAAUAUAAACUACAAACUAUUAAAAUAUCCUUUUUUCCUCCCUGCGAAGCAUCAGUCAAAAGCUGACAGAAGAAGCCAAAUUAUUCUCCAAUGUCUAAAUUCACAGAUUAAAAAAAUCAAAAAGAACUUAGUAAUUCUUUUAAAUAAGAAACAGGAAGACAAGUUUUCCAUAAUGAUUAAUUGCAUUGCUUUUAAAUUCUGAUUCCAAGCUCAUCUGCCACAACUAAUCUUAGAUAGGAACACCAGAACACUGUGCUGAAAGAAUCCUCAAAAACUAAAGUAUGAUGGCAGGAGGAGGCUAUCUGCCAAAAUACUUUGAUUACUUCCAUGAAGGCGAAUUGAAUAUGGAUUUCCUCCUAUGGCUUUUCCUCCUAUUGCUGCAUGCAUGACAAGGAUUCUGCCACAUCAGCUACACCAGCUAUGUGUCUAUUAAUUUUCAACACCCCCGCAACCUUAUCUGUGGAGCUCUGUCACACAGUCCAAGACUCCAAGGAUUCCAUAUGUCUGUCAUUCAGCACGUGGCUCAGCACUGCUCCUUCACGCAGCUUCCUUCCUUCAUUGAACAGGAAGGAACCCAGCAAGAUUUACACCUGCCUGUCCUUCAUGAGACGGCAUACAUGCUACUCAAGAUUCUGAAACCUGCUCAUCUUCCUGUCUCUUGCUCUCUGCCUGCUAUUUUGAUGCCUCCUCAUUCCAAAAGUGUGA
This is a long non-coding RNA of Pseudopodoces humilis (Tibetan ground-tit), 922 nucleotides long. RefSeq lists it as uncharacterized. Lineage: Eukaryota; Metazoa; Chordata; Aves; Passeriformes; Paridae. The record is from RefSeq and is a predicted model, not a curated record.